GACGUAGGGCGCGAGCGUUGUCCGGAUUUAUUGGGCGUAAAGAGCUCGUAGGCGGCUUGUCGCGUCGUCCGUGAAAACCUGCGGCUCAACUGCAGGCUGGCGGUCGAUACGGGCAGGCUGGAGUUCGGUAGGGGAGACUGGAAUUCCCAGUGUAGCGGUGAAAUGCGUAGAUAUUGGGAGGAACACCAGUGGCGAAGGCGGCUCACUGGACCGGUACUGACGCUGAAGCGCGAAAGCGUGGGGAGCAAACGGG
This 253-nucleotide ribosomal RNA is filed under the name uncultured bacterium. RNAcentral's name for it is "partial 16S ribosomal RNA". It matches the Rfam family "Bacterial small subunit ribosomal RNA", at positions 524 to 776 of the family's 1533-position model. The record is from RNAcentral.